AAUUUGGGUAUAGCGCGCGUUUGCCCUAGUUGGCAUUGCAAAGCGCAACGCUUAGCGCUCCAAUUUAGGAACGGCAGUAAGAUUGUAAAUUACUUCAACUGUUUUAACAAGUGGAAAAUCAUCUACAUUUUCUUAUUGCCGAUUAAGAAAGGAAAUCAGUUUACAUAACUAGCUGCUAGCUACUUGCCUGAAAAUUUCCUUAGUAUAAACCUUUGCAAAACGAUUUUUCAGCACACAUAUGUGUACAUACAUAUGUAUGUAUGUAUCUUUGUAAGUAAAACGAGAAAAUUAAAAUAAUUCUAUAAGAGGCUAGCCAUAACAACAAUUUUGCUGCCUUUUCUAAUGCUGUUAUUCCACGUUACACACAAGCGGGCAAACUUGCCAGAAAGCUCUACCCUUGGCGUUAAAAACAACAACAACCAAAAGUUACCAAAGUUGGAG
Long non-coding RNA from Rhagoletis pomonella (apple maggot), 441 nucleotides. RefSeq lists it as uncharacterized. The record is from RefSeq and is a predicted model, not a curated record. The transcript has 3 exons. Lineage: Eukaryota; Metazoa; Arthropoda; Insecta; Diptera; Tephritidae.